UACCGUAACUGCGACGAUAUCUCUGAAUUAAAAAUAAUUGAGGAUCGUCUGAUGAGAACGAGGAAGCAUCUGAUGGAUUGUCUCGAAAAGAAAGAAAAAUCACAAUUUGUUUCCGAUCAAAAACCUAGCACCGACGAGAUAUUCAAUCAUGGUGGGUUUUCUUCUCCUUUCUCACAAAUUGCUUCUGAUUUUGGUCAAAACCCUAGUACCUCUACUCUGUCUUCUUCUCAAAUUGCUUCUAAUUUUGGUCAAAACCCUAGUACCUAUUCUCCGAAUUCCU
Long non-coding RNA from Arabidopsis thaliana (thale cress), 280 nucleotides. RefSeq annotates it as other RNA. The transcript has a single exon. The record is from RefSeq. NCBI's taxonomy places the organism in Eukaryota, Viridiplantae, Streptophyta, Magnoliopsida, Brassicales, Brassicaceae.